UACGUAGGCAGCGAGCGUUGUUCGGAAUUACUGGGCGUAAAGAGUGUGUAGGCGGUGCUCUAAGUUCGGUGUGAAAUCUUCCGGCUUAACUGGGAGGGUGCGCCGGAAACUGGAGUGCUCGAGCGUGGGAGAGGAAAGCGGAAUUCCUGGUGUAGCGGUGAAAUGCGUAGAUAUCAGGAGGAACACCUGCGGUGUAGACGGCUUUCUGGACCAUUGCUGACGCUGAGACACGAAAGCGUGGGUAGCAAACAGG
This 253-nucleotide ribosomal RNA is filed under the name uncultured bacterium. Its description in RNAcentral is "partial 16S ribosomal RNA". It matches the Rfam family "Bacterial small subunit ribosomal RNA", at positions 524 to 776 of the family's 1533-position model. The record is from RNAcentral.